This 562-nucleotide ribosomal RNA is filed under the name uncultured bacterium. Its description in RNAcentral is "bacterial SSU rRNA". It matches the Rfam family "Bacterial small subunit ribosomal RNA", at positions 359 to 916 of the family's 1533-position model. The record is from RNAcentral.
CAAAAGCACAUGGGGCGCAGCCUGAGGCAGCACGCCGCGUGAGUGAUGAAGGUCUUCGGAUCGUAAAACUCUGUUAUUAGGGAAGAACAUAUGUGUAAGUAACUGUGCACCUCUUGACGGUACCUAAUCAGAAAGCCACGGCUAACUACGUGCCAGCAGCCGCGGUAAUACUUAGGUGGCAAGCGUUAUCCGGAAUUAUUGGGCGUAAAGCGCGCGUAGGCGGUUUUUUAAGUCUGAUGUGAAAGCCCACGGCUCAACCGUGGAGGGUCAUUGGAAACUGGAAAACUUGAGUGCAGAAGAGGAAAGUGGAAUUCCAUGUGUAGCGGUGAAAUGCGCAAAGAUAUGGAGGAACACCAGUGGCGAAGGCGACUUUCUGGUCUGUAACUGACGCUGAUGUGCGAAAGCGUGGGGAUCAAACAGGAUUAAAUACCCUGGUAGUCCACGCCGUAAACGAUGACUGCUAAGUGUUAGGGGGUUUCCGCCCCUUACUGCUGCGGCUAACGCAUUAAGCACUCCGCCUGGGGAGUACUACCGCGAGGUUGAAACUCAAAUGAAUUGACGG